CACGUAGUUAGCCGGGGCUUCUUAGUCAGGUACUGUCAAUUUCUUCCCUGCUGAUAGAGCUUUACAUACCGAAAUACUUCUUCACUCACGCGGCGUUGCUGCAUCAGGGUUUCCCCCAUUGUGCAAUAUUCCCCACUGCUGCCUCCCGUAGGAGUUUGGGCCGUGUCUCAGUCCCAAUGUGGCCGAUCACCCUCUCAGGUCGGCUACUGAUCGUCGCCUUGGUGAGCCGUUACCUCACCAACCAGCUAAUCAGACGCGGGUCCAUCUUACACCGAUACAAUCUUUUCCGUCAGAGUCAUGCGACCCCAGCGGGUUAUGCGGUAUUAGCAGCCAUUUCUAACUGUUAUCCCCCUGUGUAAGGCAGGUUCCCCACGCGUUACUCACCCGUCCGCCGCUCAGUCAAACUGUCUUCAAUCCGAAGAAAUCAGACAGAGUGCUUCGCUCGACUUGCAUGUGUUAAGCACGCCGCCAGCGUUCAUCCUGAGCCAGGA
RNAcentral lists this ribosomal RNA (491 nucleotides) under uncultured Lachnospiraceae bacterium. Its description in RNAcentral is "partial 16S ribosomal RNA". Lineage: Bacteria; Bacillati; Bacillota; Clostridia; Lachnospirales; Lachnospiraceae. The record is from RNAcentral.